Non-coding RNA from Danio rerio (zebrafish), 71 nucleotides. The record is from Rfam. NCBI's taxonomy places the organism in Eukaryota, Metazoa, Chordata, Actinopteri, Cypriniformes, Danionidae.
GCAUUGGUGGUUCAGAGGUAGAAUUCUCGCCUGCCACGCGGGAGACCCUGGUUCGAUUCCCGGCCAAUGCA